RNAcentral lists this ribosomal RNA (503 nucleotides) under uncultured Glomus. Its description in RNAcentral is "SSU rRNA". It matches the Rfam family "Eukaryotic small subunit ribosomal RNA", at positions 569 to 1074 of the family's 1831-position model. Lineage: Eukaryota; Fungi; Glomeromycota; Glomeromycetes; Glomerales; Glomeraceae. The record is from RNAcentral.
AGCAGCCGCGGUAAUUCCAGCUCCAAUAGCGUAUAUUAAAGUUGUUGCAGUUAAAAAGCUCGUAGUUGAAUUUCGAGAUCAGUACGCUGGUCGUGCCUUCGGUAUGCACUGGUGUCACUGGUUUCUCCCUUCUGAAGAACCGUCAUGCCAUUCAGUUGGUGUGGCGGGGAAUCAGGACUGUUACUUUGAAAAAAUUAGAGUGUUUAAAGCAGGCUCGUGCUUGAAUACAUUAGCAUGGAAUAAUGAAAUAGGACGUUUGACCCUAUUUUGUUGGUUUCUAGGAUCGACGUAAUGAUUAAUAGGGAUAGUUGGGGGCAUUAGUAUUCAAUUGUCAGAGGUGAAAUUCUUGGAUUUAUUGAAGACUAACUACUGCGAAAGCAUUUGCCAAGGAUGUUUUCAUUAAUCAAGAACGAAAGUUAGGGGAUCGAAGACGAUCAGAUACCGUCGUAGUCUUAACCAUAAACUAUGCCGACUAGGGAUCGGAUGAUGUUAAUUUUUAAUGA